RNAcentral lists this ribosomal RNA (668 nucleotides) under uncultured bacterium. Its description in RNAcentral is "partial 16S ribosomal RNA". It matches the Rfam family "Bacterial small subunit ribosomal RNA", at positions 509 to 1176 of the family's 1533-position model. The record is from RNAcentral.
CAGCAGCGCUGUUAAUACGUUAGGGGCCAAGCGUCGUCCGGAAUUAUUGGCGUAAAGAGCUCGUAGGCGGUUUGUCGCGUCUGCUGUGAAAACUCGAGGCUCAACCUCGGGCUUGCAGUGGGUACGGGCAGACUAGAGUGCGGUAGGGGAGACUGGAAUUCCUGGUGUAGCGGUGGAAUGCGCAGAUAUCAGGNNGGAACANNNNAUGGCGAAGGCAGGUCUCUNNNNNNNNNCUGACGCUGAGGAGCGAAAGCAUGGGGAGCGAACAGGAUUAGAUACCCUGGUAGUNCAUGCCGUAAACGUUGGGCACUAGGUGUGGGGCUCAUUCCACGAGUUCCGUGCCGCAGCAAACGCAUUAAGUGCCCCGCCUGGGGAGUACGGCCGCAAGGCUAAAACUCAAAGAAAUUGACGGGGGCCGCACAAGCGGCGGAGCAUGCGGAUUAAUUCGAUGCAACGCGAAGAACCUUACCAAGGCUUAACAUACACCGGAAACUUCCAGAGAUGGUUGCCCCGCAAGGUCGGUGUACAGGUGGUGCAUGGUUGUCGUCAGCUCGUGUCGUGAGAUGUUGGGUUAAGUCCCGCAACGAGCGCAACCCUCGUCCUAUGUUGCCAGCGGGUCAUGCCGGGGACUCAUAGGAGACUGCCGGGGUCAACUCGGAGGAAGGCGG